This is a long non-coding RNA of Symphalangus syndactylus (siamang), 508 nucleotides long. RefSeq lists it as uncharacterized. The record is from RefSeq and is a predicted model, not a curated record. NCBI's taxonomy places the organism in Eukaryota, Metazoa, Chordata, Mammalia, Primates, Hylobatidae.
CCGGACGGCCCCGGGGAAAGAGAGGGUGGGGCGCAGAGAGCCCGCGCGCGGGAGUCCUCAGUUACCCCGGGCGGGGGAGGGGACCGUCCGCCUCUACGCAUGCGCCCCCAGCUUCCGCGGGAGGGAGGGGGCGGAAAAAGGAGGAGGAAGAGGGGCGGGCAAACUUGGAACCAACCAAUGAUAGCGGCGCUAGCCGGGAUCUUGGCCCUCACAGAACUGGGGGAGGAAUCGCGCGGGGCCUGAAGGGAGGGGUUCGGGCGCGGGAGCCGGGGCGGAGAAGACGGAAGUGGAGCGAGGACAAAAUGGCUACGAAGAAUCGCCUCAGGACGCGGUCGUGUCUGGACCUCUCCGCGGAAUAAAAAGGCGAACCCGCUUCUCUGAGCCCCGACCCUUAGGCCCCUUCCCACCUCCGUCUAGAACAGAUUCGGCUUCUUGGCUCAGUCCUUCCCCAACUAGCCCAAGCCCUACAUUUCCCCGUUGUUUAUAAAAUAAACAGAUUUAGAAGGUG